Molecule: transfer RNA, 95 nt
Filed under: Oceaniferula marina
Lineage: Bacteria; Pseudomonadati; Verrucomicrobiota; Verrucomicrobiia; Verrucomicrobiales; Verrucomicrobiaceae
Description: tRNA-Sec
Rfam family: Selenocysteine transfer RNA
Source: RNAcentral
GGAGAGUGUAGUGUGCCUGGUGGUCGCCGCGGUUUUCAAAACCGUUGACGGGUUGUUAUGAUCUGUGGUUGGUUCGAUUCCUUCCCUCUCCGCCA